ACAGAAACAGCUAGAAAGAACAGCGUCAUCACCCGCAUCUCCAUUACGACUUUAACUGGAAAGCAACGAUGCUAGCAGUCAAGGUCUUGGAGGCAUUUGUUAAUGUUCUCCACUAACGGCCAAUCCAGAAUGCUGUGAGACGUCUGUGUCUUUCAUCUGUACCAGUCUCUGGCACUUCCUUGCCUUCCCCUGGCCUCUUCUGAAGGAGACCAGGAAGCCAUUUUGUUGGACACCCUUGAUUUAGCUUUUCCUAAUUCUGUCUUAGUCAGAAUUACCAGGGUCACACAUUUAACAAGAGCAUCACAGAGUGAUGUGUCCCUCAGUGCACACACACAGACAAACAUGAUCAUCACUGCUUGUCUGUGACUUGAGAUGUAUACCUGGAGGUUUCUUGUGAUUAUUUUUCUCUAUGUAAACAAUGUUGUUUUAUGUUGUUAUUCAAUUAGUAAUUAACAAUUUGGACAUUCUUAUUAAAUGAGGCAAAUACUGUU
Mesocricetus auratus (golden hamster) is the source of this 491-nucleotide long non-coding RNA. RefSeq lists it as uncharacterized. Lineage: Eukaryota; Metazoa; Chordata; Mammalia; Rodentia; Cricetidae. The transcript is spliced from 2 exons. The record is from RefSeq and is a predicted model, not a curated record.